AGGAGCAAAUAGCAAAUCAGGCGAAAACCUGUGACGCAAAACUACAGGGUCUAAGUUCAAGGUGGAAACCGGGAUAAGACAGCCAGUUGCCACA
RNAcentral lists this non-coding RNA (94 nucleotides) under Acetobacterium bakii. RNAcentral's name for it is "c-di-GMP sequence". It matches the Rfam family "c-di-GMP-I riboswitch aptamer". From Rfam's summary of the family: GEMM was predicted in a large-scale screen for bacterial structured RNA regulatory elements. Genes associated with GEMM are involved in a diverse array of functions, including chemotaxis regulation, signal transduction, secretion and chitin. Lineage: Bacteria; Bacillati; Bacillota; Clostridia; Eubacteriales; Eubacteriaceae. The record is from Rfam by way of RNAcentral.